RNAcentral lists this ribosomal RNA (761 nucleotides) under uncultured Clostridia bacterium. Its description in RNAcentral is "bacterial SSU rRNA". It matches the Rfam family "Bacterial small subunit ribosomal RNA", at positions 46 to 829 of the family's 1533-position model. Lineage: Bacteria; Bacillati; Bacillota; Clostridia. The record is from RNAcentral.
GCGAUGAACAUUGAAUGAUCCCUUCGGGGUGAUUUCGAUCGGAUUAGCGGCGAACGGGUGAGUAACGCGUGAGGAACCUGCCUCUUACAACGGGAUAGCCUCGGGAAACCGGGAUUAAUACCGUAUAAGACUCCGACAUCUCCUGAUGAUGAAGUCAAAGCGUUAGCGGUCAGAGAUGGCCUCGCGUCUGAUUAGCUUGUUGGCGGGGUAACGGCCCACCAAGGCGACGAUCAGUAACCGGCCUGAGAGGGUGAACGGUCACAUUGGAACUGAGACACGGUCCAAACUCCUACGGGAGGCAGCAGUGGGGAAUCUUGCACAAUGGGGGCAACCCUGAUGCAGCGACGCCGCGUGAGCGAUGAAGGUUUUCGAAUCGUAAAGCUCUGUCCUAUGGGAAGAUAAUGACGGUACCAUGGGAGGAAGCCCCGGCUAACUACGUGCCAGCAGCCGCGGUAAUACGUAGGGGGCGAGCGUUGUCCGGAAUUACUGGGCGUAAAGGGUUCGCAGGCGGCAUGGCAAGUCCGAUGUAAAAGGCGAAGGCUCAACCUUCGUAAGCAUCGGAAACUGUCAAGCUUGAGUGAAGGAGAGGCAAGUGGAAUUCCUAGUGUAGCGGUGGAAUGCGUAGAUAUUAGGAGGAAUACCGGUGGCGAAGGCGACUUGCUGGACUUCAACUGACGCUGAGGAACGAAAGCGUGGGUAGCAAACAGGAUUAGAUACCCUGGUAGUCCACGCCGUAAACGAUGAGUGCUAGGUGUCGGGGG